CAGAUGGAGGGCUUUACCACCAACCAGACUUCACAGGCAUUCUUCAAAUUUUUUCUCAUUUUGUCUGAUUAUUCCUUGUUUCCUCUCGCUGGGUCCACAGUAGUUUGAGACACCUUGAUCCAAUGCUAGACCAAACACCGGCUGCAGGGAUGGACCACUGAUCAUGUCUGUCUUAAUGCCCUGGAGGCUGUUGGGGUUAACAGAGUGAGUGGACCUCCCCACUGAAAGCAGUAAUUGGCUGUGUGUUUGGGUUUGUGUUGCACUACCAAGGAACUACAACACUUAGUGCGGUCUGCAGAGAAACAAAGAGUGAAGCAGUGAUUGGAUUUUUGUAGACAGGAAAUUGCAUGUCUGUCAGGAGGAUUGUGGGUCAGCGUCCUGCUCGUAAAUCACGGCUCUAACAGUGAGCACACGAUGAGAGGAGGUGAGCUGCCGACCCCCUCAACACGUGCAGUGACGACUUUUUCAGCCACUAUUAAAACCCUGACAUGGAAAGGAACAGUUAUACAGAAAUAGAUAAAAUAGUUUUUAUUGAUGAACUUGAUAGAUUUACUUUUGGAUUGAUUGCACUUCUGGGAUUUGAUUGAGGCAGAUUUUUCACUUAAGCAACCAAGACUUUCAGGUCUUACAGUUACACUCAAUGCAUUUUCAGAAAAACACCAUUGGUGAAAUCUUGGCUUUGACUCAGAAUUUUGAC
This is a long non-coding RNA of Sander lucioperca (pikeperch), 697 nucleotides long. RefSeq lists it as uncharacterized. The record is from RefSeq and is a predicted model, not a curated record. The transcript is spliced from 3 exons. Lineage: Eukaryota; Metazoa; Chordata; Actinopteri; Perciformes; Percidae.